Molecule: transfer RNA, 96 nt
Filed under: Deinococcus radiotolerans
Lineage: Bacteria; Thermotogati; Deinococcota; Deinococci; Deinococcales; Deinococcaceae
Description: tRNA-Thr
Source: RNAcentral
UGGCGCUUCUCGCGGAUGGUGGUGGUCGCGUGCCGGAGGUUGCGGCGCAUCUGGGCGUUCCCCAGGGUGUCCCGGGCCGCCGCCGGGAAGGGCCGG